RNAcentral lists this ribosomal RNA (231 nucleotides) under uncultured bacterium. Its description in RNAcentral is "partial 16S ribosomal RNA". It matches the Rfam family "Bacterial small subunit ribosomal RNA", at positions 524 to 753 of the family's 1533-position model. The record is from RNAcentral.
UACGAAGGGUGCAAGCGUUACUCGGAAUUACUGGGCGUAAAGCGUGCGUAGGUGGUUUGUUAAGUCUGUUGUGAAAGCCCCGGGCUCAACCUGGGAAUGGCGAUGGAUACUGGACAGCUAGAGUGUGUCAGAGGAUGGUGGAAUUCCGAGUGUAGAGGUGAAAUUUCGUAGAUAUUCGCAAGAACACCAGUGGCGAAGGCGGCUCACUGGCCCGGUACUGACGCUGAGGUG